GAUCAACAUUGUCAUCGAGGGAAUGAACAGCCUCAAGCAAAAAUCUGAUCCCAGUCAUUUCGACAAGGUAACUUAUUUUUCAAUUUUUUUUGUUUCCGAAAUGUAUUUAUAUUGGAAUCAUCGUUGGGUAGCUGAAUAAGAAAUAAGUUAUUCCUGUAUAUCUCAAAGGCUAACACUUGCGUAUAGUUCUUCUUGGACACCAUAGCUUGACUUUCAAUUUCAUCUUCCAUCCCCAC
RNAcentral lists this long non-coding RNA (236 nucleotides) under Solanum lycopersicum (tomato). RNAcentral's name for it is "partial TCONS_00185810". Lineage: Eukaryota; Viridiplantae; Streptophyta; Magnoliopsida; Solanales; Solanaceae. The record is from RNAcentral.